CCUACGGGGGGCAGCAGUGGGGAAUAUUGGACAAUGGGCGAAAGCCUGAUCCAGCCAUGCCGCGUGUGUGAAGAAGGCCUUCGGGUUGUAAAGCACUUUCAGUGGGGAAGAAAGCCUUGGGGCUAAUACCCUCUAGGAAGGACAUCACCCACAGAAAAAGCACCGGCUAACUCCGUGCCAGCAGCCGCGGUAAUACGGAGGGUGCGAGCGUUAAUCGGAAUUACUGGGCGUAAAGCGCGCGUAGGCGGUCUGAUAAGCCGGUUGUGAAAGCCCCGGGCUCAACCUGGGAACGGCAUCCGGAACUGUCAGGCUAGAGUGCAGGAGAGGAAGGUAGAAUUCCCGGUGUAGCGGUGAAAUGCGUAGAGAUCGGGAGGAAUACCAGUGGCGAAGGCGGCCUUCUGGACUGACACUGACGCUGAGGUGCGAAAGCGUGGGUAGCAAACAGGAUUAGAUACCCCUGUAGUC
RNAcentral lists this ribosomal RNA (465 nucleotides) under Vreelandella stevensii. RNAcentral describes it as "partial 16S ribosomal RNA". It matches the Rfam family "Bacterial small subunit ribosomal RNA", at positions 338 to 795 of the family's 1533-position model. Lineage: Bacteria; Pseudomonadati; Pseudomonadota; Gammaproteobacteria; Oceanospirillales; Halomonadaceae. The record is from RNAcentral.